CGUCACUGGCCCGUAUGGGCGGAAGUGCUUGGUAACGCAGUGCUGCCAUCUUGAGGUCAUAAUAAUGAUAUUGCAACUACAUUUUGGGUGAGACGUAUUAACUGUGCGCACAGUAGAGACUUUGAAGACGGUGUGCUUUUAGUACGGAAGGCGGAGGGCUUUUGAAAAUAUUGAAAUGCCAUGUUUCUAUGCGUUUUGAGGUUUCUACCAUCUGAGCAGUGACGGAGCUGAAGACUGACACGUUAAAAAUGUGAUCUGACGGUAACCAGGCGACCGCUUUCUGCAUCAAUACCCGUAUUUCCGUACUAAUACCAACUAUCUCUCAAUUUUCGGGACGACUCGUGCUGAAAUCUCCUAAUAACAUGAAGCAUCGCAUGGUAGAUUGAAUUGGUCAUAGAAUGGAGGUUCCUGCAGUAAACCACAGCUAUACACAUCCACCACCACAGCCAUGGGCCGGACAGAGUCCCAGGACCCCAAACAGGCCUUCACCCAGCUGUCCAUUUCCUUCAUAUCACUAUCCAAACCUGAACCCAGAUCAGCAGAGUGUGACCCCCAUGACCCAAACGACAGGAACCGCAGCAGGCCAUCGGCCUCAGUCACUGUACUGGGACCCUUCACAGCAAAGCUACCAAGGAGUGUUAAAGCCUGUUCCUGAGAUUACAAAUAAGACGAAUCAAGGAAUGCCACAGAGAAGCUACUCAUUACCAACGAGUCUAGUGUCAAAUUCUAAGACAGAGUCUCGGUACGGCCUGGAUCCUCAGCUUCUGCCCAGUGUGGUCCAGGUGAUUAAAGAGGACAGGAUCCAGUGGGAGGGGAAAGUGUUUGUUUCAGAAUGCAAAUCUUCAGUUCCCCCUCUCUCCUCAACACAAUGCACCCUGGAGGACAGAGGUACUGUCACUGCUGCCAAGUUUAGCCCGCAUUAUCUUUUGACUUUGUUCCCAAAUUCACAUGAAAAAUAAAUGUGAUGCACCUGGUUUUCUC
RNAcentral lists this long non-coding RNA (981 nucleotides) under Sinocyclocheilus anshuiensis. RNAcentral describes it as "lncRNA (ENSSANG00000039801.1)". Lineage: Eukaryota; Metazoa; Chordata; Actinopteri; Cypriniformes; Cyprinidae. The record is from RNAcentral.